UACGGAGGAUGCAAGCGUUGUCCGGAUUUAUUGGGUUUAAAGGGUGCGUAGGCGGUUUUUUAAGUCAGUGGUAAAAUUACUUAGCUUAACUAAGUUCGUGCCAUUGAUACUGUUAAACUUGAGUAUUGAUUAGGUGGAUGGAAUUGGUAGUGUAGCGGUGAAAUGCUUAGAUAUUACCAAGAACACCGAUAGCGAAGGCAAUUCACUGAACAACAACUGACGCUGAUGCACGAAAGUGCGGGUAUCAAACAGG
This 253-nucleotide ribosomal RNA is filed under the name uncultured bacterium. RNAcentral's name for it is "partial 16S ribosomal RNA". It matches the Rfam family "Bacterial small subunit ribosomal RNA", at positions 524 to 776 of the family's 1533-position model. The record is from RNAcentral.